UUUACGUGGUUCACCCUCAACUGUUUAGGGCUACGUCCACAGGAGAAACUCCGAAUAAUUCUUCCACUAUUAAAACAAUAGUAGGUACAUAAAGAGAGUAAUAAAAAAAUAGUGGCACACAAAGUGUUUCCCAAAACACCCCAAAAUAAUCCUCACUAUUUUUCUCUUCCAGUUUCAGGAAACCCAUCCUAAAACUAUAACACUCUCGCUUGC
This 213-nucleotide long non-coding RNA is filed under the name Jatropha curcas. Its description in RNAcentral is "long non-coding RNA (JCUR_LNC003055)". Lineage: Eukaryota; Viridiplantae; Streptophyta; Magnoliopsida; Malpighiales; Euphorbiaceae. The record is from RNAcentral.